RNAcentral lists this ribosomal RNA (465 nucleotides) under Vreelandella stevensii. RNAcentral describes it as "partial 16S ribosomal RNA". It matches the Rfam family "Bacterial small subunit ribosomal RNA", at positions 338 to 795 of the family's 1533-position model. Lineage: Bacteria; Pseudomonadati; Pseudomonadota; Gammaproteobacteria; Oceanospirillales; Halomonadaceae. The record is from RNAcentral.
CCUACGGGUGGCUGCAGUGGGGAAUAUUGGACAAUGGGCGAAAGCCUGAUCCAGCCAUGCCGCGUGUGUGUAGAAGGCCUUCGGGUUGUAAAGCACUUUCAGUGGGGAAGAAAGCCUUGGGGCUAAUACCCUCGAGGAAGGACAUCACCCACAGAAGAAGCACCGGCUAACUCCGUGCCAGCAGCCGCGGUAAUACGGAGGGUGCGAGCGUUAAUCGGAAUUACUGGGCGUAAAGCGCGCGUAGGCGGUCUGAUAAGCCGGUUGUGAAAGCCCCGGGCUCAACCUGGGAACGGCAUCCGGAACUGUCAGGCUAGAGUGCAGGAGAGGAAGGUAGAAUUCCCGGUGUAGCGGUGAAAUGCGUAGAGAUCGGGAGGAAUACCAGUGGCGAAGGCGGCCUUCUGGACUGACACUGACGCUGAGGUGCGAAAGCGUGGGUAGCAAACAGGAUUAGAUACCCUUGUAGUC